RNAcentral lists this long non-coding RNA (269 nucleotides) under Homo sapiens (human). RNAcentral describes it as "non-protein coding lnc-SMCHD1-1:1". The record is from RNAcentral. Lineage: Eukaryota; Metazoa; Chordata; Mammalia; Primates; Hominidae.
AGAAAAGGCUCAGUAGGACUGUAGUUCCAGAGGAGCACUCUGUGAAAAUUUCAACCACAGCAGAGGAAAAUGGGGACUUCGACUUGUAUGGAGAUAGGAGGCUGCUCGGCCGCUGUGAAAAAUCUAAGGGGAGCCCUGCAUCAGAUAUCCAGAAGCUGUUUCCUGCAUUUCCAAGGAUGCUGUGCCCUGUUUACAUCACCGGAACAGGAGGAGGGACACACCCAACAGCUGUAGAAGCAGGAAAUAUCUAAUACAAAACUAAAGUACAA